This 253-nucleotide ribosomal RNA is filed under the name uncultured bacterium. RNAcentral's name for it is "partial 16S ribosomal RNA". It matches the Rfam family "Bacterial small subunit ribosomal RNA", at positions 524 to 776 of the family's 1533-position model. The record is from RNAcentral.
UACGGGGGGGGCAAGCGUUGUUCGGAAUUACUGGGCGUAAAGGGCGCGUAGGCGGUCCGCUAAGUUCGGCGUGAAAUCCCCUGGCUCAACUGGGGAACUGCGCUGGAUACUGGUGGACUCGAGUACCGGAGAGGAGAGUGGAAUUCCUGGUGUAGCGGUGAAAUGCGUAGAUAUCAGGAGGAACACCGGUGGCGAAGGCGGCUCUCUGGACGGAUACUGACGCUGAGGCGCGAAAGCGUGGGGAUCAAACAGG